UUUGAAGGGUAUUUAUUUCAAUGUUUACCUAGUAAAUACUUGGAUACUAUCUGAGUGCCUGAAGCAAACCAUAAUAGCUAAAGUCAGUGUCACAGGGAUUUGCUUGGUUCAUCAGUUUCAAUGCAAAUAUGUCAUCCUGUAACAUGAUAGUAUUUAUUGAGAAAAUUAGAUACUUCAGAUUUGAUGAAUAUCUUAGAAGCUAGUGGAAAAUGUUUUAUAAUCUGGAAUAAAAUUGUUCUAAUAAAUUGGUUUCCUUCAUUUAAAUUAUUCUGCUUUAAGUCAUUUAAAAGACUGUGUGCAGCCUACAUGUAAUAUGAUUAUGAUGUUCUGGUCGGGUCAGCUAAAAGAAUAACAUUUUUUCUCAAUUAACAGGAGUUAAUGAAGUGUGAGCAAUGCAUAAGCAUGAAAAUUGAAGCUGUAGCAAGGGGCUGGAAUUUAAGGCAAGUUUGAGUAACAGAAGCAUGAUUUUAAGGCAGAUUUGCUAGAAAAAUGCUCCUGAGGUGCAUUGUCAGAGACUGCUGCCCUGAGAAUCCUCCAUCUGACUCUGGGAGACACAGCUGUGAACUUGUGGAACAUGUUGGCUCAAGUUAUACCUCAAUGAAGUGAGGGGGGAUAAAGAUCAAUAGAAGAUUCUUGUGUAGUGAAAUUGUGGCAAGUUCUUACGGGUGACCUGCACUCUGCUGUUCUUUUUUCCACCUGUGUAAAGUACAAGUUUAAAGAGAAGAAGAAGAAACUGAGAGUUGUGAAUUCCCCGUAGGAAGUCAGCACUCUUUCCACUCAUCACUCUCCAGCCUCAUCAUCUCCAUUCAUCAGUAGGCUCCACAUGGCUUCCUGGAGAUAUCUUCAUCAUAGAUUUUUCAAAUCUCCCCUGGAAUCUAUGCAGCCGAAUGUGCAGUUGUUCUGUAACUGAUGGUCGCCUGGAUAUCAUUUGAUGAAAGUGUAAGACAGGUUUUUGUGUGUGUGUGUGUGUGAUGCCAAUUACUAAGGACAUGAAGAUACACAUCUUGAAUUAUUACAUAUAAAAAGAUUAAAGGCUAAAUAUUUAAGAAAUAUCUAAUGCAACUGUAGUCUCUGCUCUCACUUCUCCAUAUUCUUGUGAGUUUUUGUUCUGUUCCUUAUUCUUAGAGUGUAAAGUGAUCAUUUUAGGAAUGAAUAUCAUAGAAAGUAAAUACAAGGAACAGAAAGCUUAAUGCAUUCAUUAUUCAUUCCUUUCCAUCAAUAUUCUGAACACCUACAGAGUGUUCUAGGCUCACUGGGGAAACAAGAAUCAAUAAAUCUCAUUUUCUCCCCUUACUGACCUCAUGAUCAGUAGAAAACCAACCCGAAUAAUCUCAUAUUGAUUCCUCCUUCCUGUGAGUCCUCAUGCAUUCUGGAAACCUUUGGAGGGAUUUAUCAUAGUCCAUAUUACUUAAGAGUUUACGGGCAUUUCUUUUAUGCUCCUUGGUAGAUGUUGAAUGCCUGGAAGGCAAAGACUUUGUUUUCCCUAUCUUUAUAUCCCUGGUUCCCAGUGUAGUGGUUACUCCAUGCUAUGUGCUUAACACAUGUUUUUAAAUAAAAGGUUCAAUGGUUUUGCCAUUAACAAUAUAUAAGACCCUUAGCUAGUAAUUUUGUA
This is a long non-coding RNA of Symphalangus syndactylus (siamang), 1612 nucleotides long. RefSeq lists it as uncharacterized. The record is from RefSeq and is a predicted model, not a curated record. Lineage: Eukaryota; Metazoa; Chordata; Mammalia; Primates; Hylobatidae.